Molecule: ribosomal RNA, 500 nt
Filed under: uncultured bacterium
Lineage: Bacteria
Description: partial 16S ribosomal RNA
Rfam family: Bacterial small subunit ribosomal RNA
Source: RNAcentral
AUUGAACGCUGGCGGAAUGCUUUACACAUGCAAGUCGAACGGCAGCACGGACUUCGGUCUGGUGGCGAGUGGCGAACGGGUGAGUAAUGUAUCGGAACGUGCCCAGUCGUGGGGGAUAACGUAGUGAAAAUUACGCUAAUACCGCAUACGAUCUAUGGAUGAAAGCGGGGGAUCGAAAGACCCCGCGAGAGUGGAGCGGCCGAUAUCAGAUUAGGUAGUUGGUGGGGUAAAGGCCCACCAAGCCAACGAUCUGUAGCUGGUCUGAGAGGACGACCAGCCACACUGGAACUGAGACACGGUCCAGACUCCUACGGGAGGCAGCAGUGGGGAAUUUUGGACAAUGGGCGAAAGCCUGAUCCAGCCAUUCCGCGUGCAGGAUGAAGGCCCUCGGGUUGUAAACUGCUUUUGUACAGAACGAAAAGGUUUCUACUAAUACUAGGAGCUCAUGACGGUACUGUAAGAAUAAGCACCGGCUAACUACGUGCCAGCCGCCGCGGUAA